UACGUAUGGUGCAAGCGUUAUCCGGAUUUACUGGGUGUAAAGGGAGCGCAGGCGGCGCGGCAAGUCCGAUGUGAAAACCCCCGGCUCAACCGGGGGACUGCAUUGGAAACUACCGGGCUGGAGUGCCGGAGAGGUAGGCGGAAUUCCUGGUGUAGCGGUGAAAUGCGUAGAUAUCAGGAGGAACACCAGCGGCGAAGGCGGCCUACUGGACGGUGACUGACGCUGAGGCUCGAAAGCGUGGGGAGCAAACAGG
RNAcentral lists this ribosomal RNA (253 nucleotides) under uncultured bacterium. RNAcentral describes it as "partial 16S ribosomal RNA". It matches the Rfam family "Bacterial small subunit ribosomal RNA", at positions 524 to 776 of the family's 1533-position model. The record is from RNAcentral.